GUCAUUUUAUACCCAAAAGACGUUCCUAUCUUGCACCCUUUACACAACCCACGUUUUCCCCCAUUAAACACCAUUACUUACUCCAUUAACUUCUAACACUAACAUACCCUUUUGUUAUAUAUAUAUCAGUAGUUUUGAAUUAAAAAAGGGGACACACAGAGACAGACUUUCCCAGUUAUAUUCCCUCGUCGGUUUUGCUCUCAGAAGUUCCAUUUCGACAUUAGCUUCUAAGCUUCCUCUUCGCGUCACUCAAUUGAGAUAUGAAGUGUUUCAGAUCCGGAUCUGCGUUGCGUGCUCGCUUUGAAGUUGAUCUCAUUGCAUUUUCAUUGUUGACGUGUUGUUUCUGUUGCUAGAUUUUCCACGCUAUUUCAAACCUUAUUUAAUUAUUCUUCUAUCGAUUUCUGGUUUUAGGUACUCCAGCCUCAUAUAUGAC
This 433-nucleotide long non-coding RNA is filed under the name Nicotiana benthamiana. RNAcentral's name for it is "long non-coding RNA (NBEN_LNC042177)". The record is from RNAcentral. Lineage: Eukaryota; Viridiplantae; Streptophyta; Magnoliopsida; Solanales; Solanaceae.